GACGGAGGAUGCAAGUGUUAUCCGGAAUCACUGGGCGUAAAGCGUCUGUAGGUGGUUUAAUAAGUCAACUGUUAAAUCUUGAGGCUCAACCUCAAAAUCGCAGUCGAAACUAUUAGGCUAGAGUAUAGUAGGGGUAAAGGGAAUUUCCAGUGGAGCGGUGAAAUGCGUAGAGAUUGGAAAGAACGCCGAUGGCGAAGGCACGUUACUGGGCUAUUACUAACACUCAGAGACGAAAGCUAGGGUAGCAAAUGGG
RNAcentral lists this ribosomal RNA (253 nucleotides) under uncultured bacterium. RNAcentral's name for it is "partial 16S ribosomal RNA". It matches the Rfam family "Bacterial small subunit ribosomal RNA", at positions 524 to 776 of the family's 1533-position model. The record is from RNAcentral.